RNAcentral lists this long non-coding RNA (624 nucleotides) under Felis catus (domestic cat). RNAcentral's name for it is "lncRNA (ENSFCAG00000049855.1)". Lineage: Eukaryota; Metazoa; Chordata; Mammalia; Carnivora; Felidae. The record is from RNAcentral.
GAUGCAGACAUACUGAAGGUUGCUAAGGGCUGUUUCCUGGCUUGGGAAUCGGGCUGAACUGGCUGAUCUAACAGUUCGCUGAGAUCCCAUUAGAACGAUACCACUUCCCAGAGACAACGGGAGUCAUGAGCCAUCCGCCCACCGCAUGUUCGGGCAUGCGCGGCCCUGACUGCAUCACCCCACCGCGUUCUGAUCUGAAUCCCCACCGAGGGACCACUGGCCUCUCAAGCUCUCCCUGCCAGGGUCUGGGGCAGCCCCCCUCUCUCUUUGCCCACCUCGGAUGCUCUCCCGAGGCAGCCAGGGGCCCAUCUCUGCCUCGGCAGCUCACAUCACUGGCCCUUUCUUCACCUGAGCUCCCACUUUCCCAACAUGGGGCAAGGCCCCUGUUUCACCACAGCAGUAAAAGCUCUUACGUCUUCUAAAGCAGGACGGUCCUCCUCCUUCCCAGUGGAAGCACCAGGAAGCUCCCCCAAACUCUCCUGCUGCCUCCAAGUCAUACAGUAAUAACAGUAGCAGUAAAAAAAAAUUUUUUUUUGACAUCAUUACUGUUUCUCUUAUAAUAAGAUAUGGGAUUAGUAUGAUACGAUAAGAUACGGUGUCUCUUAAUAUUAUCAAAACUUGCAC